AUUUCUUCGACAAGUAUUUUCUGAUAUAUGGACCAUGUGCCCACAAUGAUAUUAAAUUUAUUUUUUAUGGGGGUGGGCCUACCACAGUAGCUUGCUACUGGGGUCCAUGCGCGUCGCUUGGGUGUUGCACUAUUGCCCUGGCUUGUGCACCCCAA
This 155-nucleotide small nuclear RNA is filed under the name Triticum aestivum (bread wheat). RNAcentral describes it as "snRNA U2". It matches the Rfam family "U2 spliceosomal RNA". From Rfam's summary of the family: U2 is a small nuclear RNA (snRNA) component of the spliceosome (involved in pre-mRNA splicing). Complementary binding between U2 snRNA (in an area lying towards the 5' end but 3' to hairpin I) and the branchpoint sequence (BPS) of the intron results the bulging out of an unpaired adenosine, on the BPS, which initiates a nucleophilic attack at the intronic 5' splice site, thus starting the first of two transesterification reactions that mediate splicing. Lineage: Eukaryota; Viridiplantae; Streptophyta; Magnoliopsida; Poales; Poaceae. The record is from Rfam by way of RNAcentral.